Molecule: ribosomal RNA, 198 nt
Filed under: Heterospilus sp. ASDOR285-10
Lineage: Eukaryota; Metazoa; Arthropoda; Insecta; Hymenoptera; Braconidae
Description: partial 28S ribosomal RNA
Source: RNAcentral
CUCAUUUUGUAUAUGUAUGANGUUAUGAUGUGAGUUACUCUNUGUAGUAUUGCUUGCACGUACUUAUGCAUUUAUUUGCAAGGUGUUGUCGGCGUGCACUUCUCCCCUAGUAGGACGUCGCGACCCGUUGGGUAUCGGUCUACGACCCGAGUGGUAGACUUUAAUAUUUUNAUAAUAUUAAAGACCCUUGGUGUUUUC